RNAcentral lists this ribosomal RNA (198 nucleotides) under uncultured bacterium. Its description in RNAcentral is "partial 16S ribosomal RNA". It matches the Rfam family "Bacterial small subunit ribosomal RNA", at positions 1295 to 1500 of the family's 1533-position model. The record is from RNAcentral.
GGACUGGAGUCUGCAACCCGACUCCACGAAGUUGGAUUCGCUAGUAAUCGCGCAUCAGCCAUGGCGCGGUGAAUACGUUCCCGGGCCUUGUACACACCGCCCGUCAAGCCAUGGGAGCCGGGGGCGCCUGAAGUCCGGGACCGCGAGGACCGGCCUAGGGCGAAACUGGUGACUGGGGCUAAGUCGUAACAAGGUAUC